GCUCCUCCCAGCACCCCUCCCCCGGGCCCUGGCGGGGUGAGAAACCGAGAUGGUGGCAGCAGAAACUGGAGCCCCGGCGCCGGGCGGCCGCGAGGGGCCGAGGCUUUUGGGGGCUCUGCUGCCUCUUGCCAAGGUCAAUCAAAGCGUCCCGCGCUCGGGAGGCGCGCCGCGUGCGCCCGCGAGCAGGCGGCGAGGGGCCAGAGAGUGGAAAGGAAGACGCUCUGGAGAGCCGGGAACUUCCGGAAGCACCAGAUCCCUGGCAACCGACGACCCGGCUCCGCUGCUCACCCCUUGCCAGGCCUCGGGGAAGUUAUGUGAAGACGUUACUGGGCUUCAGUUUUCUCCUCUGAGAAAGAGAGAACGCGCGUCAAGUUUCUUCCUAAGCUCAGUCAGUAUGUCAGCUAAGAGAUGGAAGUCAGCCCUGAAGAUGGAUUGGGAACCGGGUGCAGAAGGUGCGAACAGGGUAUAUGACAGUGUGGCCAUGCUGUGAAGCUGUUUCUGUCUCCAAUGGGAGCAAGAACAACUUGUGACCAGAAUAUGUGCAUACUUGGAAACGGUAUAGCUUGAGUUCAGAGAGGCUGAGGUGCUCACCCAAGAGCACACAGCUCAUGCCAGGUGCCUACACAUAUACACAGUGAUACAUGGCUUUAAGAGGCAAAGUCAGAGUGAAGACAUAGGGUCAGGAUGCAGUGUGGGGUGGGCGAAGCGUCUGAGGAAAGGCAACCCCUUCCUGCCCCUCCCAGAUGACUUCCCAGGGCUGGUUUUUGUGUUUUGGUGCCAUGGCAACUGGCUGUGAUAUCUGCAUGUGGAACGUGAAGCAUAACCUUAGGACACUGAGGCUAGCUUGAUGGGCCUAGAAGAUAACACACUCAUGACCUACUAGCCUCCCAGCCUUGCUCCAGCCUGGUGAUGCUGCCCAGGCAAGUCCUCAGUUGUUGAGAUGCCUUUCUCUGUUCACACUUACUGCCUAUCCAAUCAGUUGAGCUCACCUGUUUGGCAGUACUCGCUUUGAUCCUGGAAUGCUCUGCUGUCUUAUGUUUGUCUAAAUCCACCUGCCAUCUCUCAUGGCUGAGUUCCUAUCUCACCUCCACCUGGAAGACUUCUCUGAUUUCCCUAGUCCACAGAGCCUUUUUUUCCUUCUGAAUUUGUCUAGCAGUUACUGUACUCUGUACCAUUCAUGUUAUGAUAUUUGGACUUUGUUCUAAUGUAAUUCAACAAGUUCCUAAUAUGUGCAAGACACUGUGCUAAGUGCUGAAUGCUCAUGUGGGUAUUGUGGGGCCCAGUCUACUCCAUGCUCAUUAGACUUUAGAAGGGAGCAUCAGACCAUCUAGCAGCUCUGGCUUUAUGACAAGGAGAGGCCCCCAUCAGCUCCCAAACUAGGCAGGACAGAGGAUACAAGUUGCAGUUUAUUAGAGCCUUGCAUAUGAGUCCAGACAGUCCACUGGGUCUCCUUUUUCUUUACCUCACAGGCUUGUUCUGAGGACAAAUGAGCUAAUACAUGUAAAGUACCUAACACAGUGAUAGACAUGUUAGUUCUCUGCCUCUCUCUCCACAUCAACCCCAUAUCCUGUACUCAUGAAUCUACCUGAUUGGAGAAAAUGUGUUCUUCUUCUCGGGACUCUUCAAAGAACUCACUGUCCUGGGUUGCAGAGCUAAAUGAAGCAGAGGGUGCCCACUGGGAGCUCACAUCUAGUGCUUUCACACACUGGCUCUCAUUUAAUCCUCCAUGAGCUCUGGGACAGGAAAUAAUAUUCCAAUGUUGAGGAGGACAGAAGCCAGGACUUGGAGAGGCUGACCCACCGCAGAUCACAGAGCUCGUAAGCACUGGAGCUGGCCUCAGAAUCAAGAUGUGAGGUGCAAGAGAGGUCCGAAGCAGGCAGAGAGAGUACUUGUGAAGGUAUCAGUUCUGCCCAAAGAAUUCUAUAAACUCAACAUAAUGGCUGUCAAAGUUGUAAUAGGAUUUGUGCGUGUGUGUGUAUGUGGAAUUUAACAAGCUGAUUCUAAAACUAAUCUAGGAGAAUAACUGUGCUGGAAUAGUCAAGACGUAUUUGAAAAAGAAGUACAGUGAGGGAGAACGUGCCCCACCAGAUAACAGAGCAUCACUGAGCUGUGCUGAUUAGAAGGGAGGUGUGCUGGUGUGGGACAAGGUGUCCAUUGAUGCCGUAGCACAGAGUGUAAAGGGUUCGUAUAAAGAGUUUGGUGUAGGAUAAGGUGGCAUUUAAAAGCAGUAGGGAAAGAACGAACUCUUCAAUCAAUACUGUAGAGACAGUUGGCUAUUCGUGUGAAAAAACCCCCAUAAAGUUGAUUCCUGCUUCACAGCAUUCACUAAAUAAAUUCCAGAUGGAUUAGAGAGCUAAACAUAAAACACACACACACACAGCUAUAAAACUAUUAAAAGAAAAUACAGAAGAAUUUGUUUAUAACCCUGGGGUAGGAAAGGCUUU
Artibeus jamaicensis (Jamaican fruit-eating bat) is the source of this 2444-nucleotide long non-coding RNA. RefSeq lists it as uncharacterized. The record is from RefSeq and is a predicted model, not a curated record. NCBI's taxonomy places the organism in Eukaryota, Metazoa, Chordata, Mammalia, Chiroptera, Phyllostomidae. The transcript is spliced from 3 exons.